Molecule: long non-coding RNA, 393 nt
Filed under: Homo sapiens (human)
Lineage: Eukaryota; Metazoa; Chordata; Mammalia; Primates; Hominidae
Description: long non-coding RNA NONHSAT258691
Source: RNAcentral
GCUCUAAGGACCAGGAAAAGUUAAAAGUGGACCAACCACUCAAUAAGGUGGCUCUUCAGACCCUUCAGUGCCUACCACGAGGGGGAACAAUUCCACAGGAAAUGGCUUAGGCAGAGUCAUCCCAAACCUAAGCUGCCUCUACUGGCUAGAAAUCAACUGUGGAGUUCCAACCAACAGUAACCAGCCAGCCGUACCCCAGGCUUUCAUUCUCAUAAAAGACUAAACUACUGUAAACCCAAAAUAAAAUUCUAAGGCCCCCCCAACCAUCUGAAUGGACAUCCUCCUCUGCCAGGGCACUCUAAAAUUUAACCUGAAAGACUGGUUCAGGAUAUGGCAGAAAGUGGGGGGAUCGGACCUACCUCAUUAUACCCUCCAACAUUAACAUAAACACAG